AACUGAAUAUAUAAACAUUCAAC
Molecule: microRNA, 23 nt
Filed under: Ananas comosus (pineapple)
Lineage: Eukaryota; Viridiplantae; Streptophyta; Magnoliopsida; Poales; Bromeliaceae
Description: microRNA s0708_c92a
Source: RNAcentral